Punica granatum (pomegranate) is the source of this 486-nucleotide non-coding RNA. NCBI's taxonomy places the organism in Eukaryota, Viridiplantae, Streptophyta, Magnoliopsida, Myrtales, Lythraceae. The record is from RefSeq and is a predicted model, not a curated record.
CACGGACGGAGUCUCCUCGGCUUCAUCGCCGAUCUCCUCUUCUUCGCCUUCUUUAUCUCGGUUCAAACCGAGAAGCUCCAGAGCCUUGCUUCCUGAAUCAACUGCCGUCACUGUUGACAAAAGAAAGCAAGGAAAUUGGGAUGAAAGGCAACUGUUUGGGCGUCUGACGACCUUUCCAUUCAAGCUAAGGCUACUGUUUUAAGGAUUCCCCGUGCACGUGCCCGACAUACUUAGUGGAAUUUGCUUGGCUAUUAUUAUUGCAAAAACAUAAAAUGGAAAGUGGAAGGCCGAAGAUUGCAAACUUUAAGAAUAAGAUAGGAGGCCUACUCUAUGUUUGGUUCGAUAUGAUUCUAAGGAUCAGAUGAGAAAUCUCGAUGACAUAUUUGCCAGAUGUACGAGUUUAAACUAUAAAAUAAGUCAUAAUCCAAAAUAGUAUCGAACGUGAUACAUGUAACCUUUUCGGUUAAAUUCGCGUUUGAUUUUAAA